UGUAAGCGUAUACCAAAGUUGUUGCAGUUAAAACGCUCGUAGUCGGAAUUUGGCAGUUCCGGAUGUGUGCACGUCGUGUGCGCACUUCGCGGGGAUUGCUUUUGUGGUCUUGCGUAGGAUGAGGCACUUUUAUUAGUGAACGUCCUCACGCAACCACUUUUUACUGUGAGAAAAUCAGAGUGCUCAAAGCAGGCAUUUGCCGUGAAUGUAUUAGCAUGGAAUAAUAGAAUAGGACUUGGUUCUAUUUUGUUGGUUUGUUGGGACUGAGUAAUGAUUAAGAGGGACAGUUGGGGGCAUUUGUAUUUCGGUGCUAGAGGUGAAAUUCUUAGAUUACCGAAAGACAAACUGCUGCGAAAGCGUCUGUCAAGGAUGUUUUCAUUGA
RNAcentral lists this ribosomal RNA (382 nucleotides) under uncultured eukaryote. RNAcentral's name for it is "partial 18S ribosomal RNA". It matches the Rfam family "Eukaryotic small subunit ribosomal RNA", at positions 592 to 976 of the family's 1831-position model. The record is from RNAcentral.